RNAcentral lists this ribosomal RNA (254 nucleotides) under uncultured bacterium. RNAcentral describes it as "partial 16S ribosomal RNA". It matches the Rfam family "Bacterial small subunit ribosomal RNA", at positions 524 to 776 of the family's 1533-position model. The record is from RNAcentral.
UACGAAGGGGGCUAGCGUUGUUCGGAAUUACUGGGCGUAAAGCGCACGCAGGCGGAUCGUUAAGUCAGGGGUGAAAUCCCGAGGCUCAACCUCGGAACUGCCUCUGAUACUGGCGAUCUUCGAGUCCGGGAGAGGUGAGUGGAACUCCGAGUGUAGAGGUGAAAUUCGUAGAUAUUCGGAAGAACACCAGUGGCGAAGGCGGCUCACUGGCCCGGUACUGACGCUCAGGUGCGAAAGCGUGGGGAGCAAACAGG